RNAcentral lists this ribosomal RNA (483 nucleotides) under uncultured bacterium. Its description in RNAcentral is "partial 16S ribosomal RNA". It matches the Rfam family "Bacterial small subunit ribosomal RNA", at positions 29 to 506 of the family's 1533-position model. The record is from RNAcentral.
AUUGAACGCUGGCGGCAUGCUUUACACAUGCAAGUCGAACGGCAGCGCGGGCUUCGGCCUGGCGGCGAGUGGCGAACGGGUGAGUAAUACAUCGGAACGUGCCCAGUAGUGGGGGAUAGCUCGGCGAAAGCCGGAUUAAUACCGCAUACGACCUGAGGGUGAAAGCGGGGGAUCUUCGGACCUCGCGCUAUUGGAGCGGCCGAUGGCAGAUUAGCUAGUUGGUGGGGUAAAGGCCUACCAAGGCGACGAUCUGUAGCUGGUCUGAGAGGACGACCAGCCACACUGGGACUGAGACACGGCCCAGACUCAUACGGGAGGCAGCAGUGGGGAAUUUUGGACAAUGGGCGAAAGCCUGAUCCAGCAAUGCCGCGUGUGUGAUGAAGGCCUUCGGGUUGUAAAGCACUUUUGGCGGGAACGAAAAGGACUGUGCCAAUACCACGGUUCGAUGACGGUACCCGCAGAAUAAACACCGGCUAACUACGU